Long non-coding RNA from Acanthochromis polyacanthus (spiny chromis), 327 nucleotides. RefSeq lists it as uncharacterized. The record is from RefSeq and is a predicted model, not a curated record. Lineage: Eukaryota; Metazoa; Chordata; Actinopteri; Pomacentridae. The transcript has 4 exons.
CUUGCAGAGCUAAGCGCUGCCCCACAGAAGGUAAUGUGCCGUAGUGGUACAGACAGCCUCAUCAUGGACAUAAGAUUGUUUUUUCGAAGAAAAGAGCCAGGUUCAGCUGAAUACAAUCUAUUUGUGUAUGAUUGUCAGUCCAAAGAGGGAGAGAUGAAAAAGGAGAGGAGAGAGUGCAAAGUCAGGAAGAACCAGGAAGAGAACAAGGAGAGACUCUGGGAGAUGAGAGCGUGCAGACCAGGGAAAGAAAUGCUGUGCAUCACAUUUCAAAUAAAAGUCAAAAAAUAAGUCCGAGGUCCAUUUUUGUUUUGUUUUUUUGGUGCUUGG